GCUGUUGGUCUUUUAAUAAUUUAGGAUAGCUAUAUAGCUAUAUAUAUACAUAUAUAUUACACAAAUUAGCUUUUUGUCUGUCAUGUAUGUUGCAGAUCUGUUUCCCCAGUCUGUUGACUUUUGACUUUGAUGCAUUUUUCUUGCCUAUAAAGUUUUAAUUUUUAUGGAGUCAAAUGCAUCAGUCUUCUAUUCAAAGACUUAUUUAUGGGUUUGGUGUUUCAGUUUAGGAUGAAAAAGAAGUUGUAGAUAUGGAUAAAGGAGAUGGUUGUACAACACAUUAUAUUGGACCACUCAACUGUACGUUUAAACAUGGUUAAAAUGGCAUGUAUCAAACCAAGAAAGCGGCUAGGAGGGCAACACAUCUACCUGUAUACAGGGAGCUAUGAAAUACGUGAGCUGCGCAAGUGAUGCACAAGGAAACGGAAGCAGUAUGACCUUUACACAGUGACCUGGCUCAAAUAAUUUCAGGCUGUCAUUAACCAGGCGAGCUCCACUUUCUCUCUGAGGUUGGGUGUUAAUCUGAUGUGGUGCUCUUGGAGAAGCUUGCUUGAGUUCGGCGCUUUCUCAGCACGUGGUGUGUGCUGCCCCUUCAAGCUGCAGGAGUCCCAGAAGGUAAGUGCUGCUGCAACCCCCAUUUACUGGUGAACAGAGGUCAGGUGAUCUGCAGCCAACCAAGCAGCUGCUAAGUGGCCAACAGGCUGGAUCUGCAUCUAACUUGCAGAGGCCCUGCCUGGAUGCUGGGGCUGUCCUGAGACUCCCUCCUCCUCCUCCUCUUCCCUCCACAGCUCUCCUGGCUUCUAUCCAAAGCUGUGUUCCAGGUGGGGAACACCUAUGGAUGCACCAGGGUGCAACUACUCAGAGUCCAGUGUGCAGAAGGGCCCCUGCUCUAUGCUGUUUCCGUAUCCAAGCCCAAGCUCUUCUAGAGCUUCAGCAAA
This is a long non-coding RNA of Homo sapiens (human), 935 nucleotides long. RefSeq lists it as uncharacterized. The record is from RefSeq and is a predicted model, not a curated record. The transcript is spliced from 3 exons. Lineage: Eukaryota; Metazoa; Chordata; Mammalia; Primates; Hominidae.